UACGAAGGGGGCGAGCGUUGUUCGGAAUUACUGGGCGUAAAGGGCGCGUAGGCGGCGACUCAAGUUAGAUGUGAAAGUCCUGGGCUUAACCUGGGGACUGCAUUUGAUACUGGGUUGCUUGAAUUCGGGAGAGGAUAGCGGAAUUCCCAGUGUAGAGGUGAAAUUCGUAGAUAUUGGGAAGAACACCGGUGGCGAAGGCGGCUAUCUGGACCGACAUUGACGCUGAGGCGCGAAAGCGUGGGGAGCAAACGGG
This 253-nucleotide ribosomal RNA is filed under the name uncultured bacterium. RNAcentral describes it as "partial 16S ribosomal RNA". It matches the Rfam family "Bacterial small subunit ribosomal RNA", at positions 524 to 776 of the family's 1533-position model. The record is from RNAcentral.